Pelodiscus sinensis (Chinese soft-shelled turtle) is the source of this 742-nucleotide non-coding RNA. NCBI's taxonomy places the organism in Eukaryota, Metazoa, Chordata, Testudines, Trionychidae. The record is from RefSeq and is a predicted model, not a curated record.
UGGGGGGGCGGUCCCUGGGAGGCAGGAGAUACCCGCUCCAGUCCCUUCGCAGAGGCGGGACUGGAACUGGGAUCUCCCACCUCCUGGGCAGGCCAGGACCACAGGGGGCAAAAGAGAGAUCCGAGUUUUAUUAAAAAGCCGAAGAGGCAGCAAAUAAUUUUUCAAAACCCUUUGUCUUACCAGGCACAGGGGGAAUAGAACUCACAGACUCAACCUUCCAAGCCAGCACCUACACCCCUGUGCUAUGGAGGGCUUCACACAGUGAGUGUUUGCUUGGGCCCUAUCAGUAGUUAACGAAAGGGGCCCUACUGCAACAGGAAAGCCCAACGGCCUCUGCUGACCCAGCAAAGCCUCCACCCCAGCGCUCCAAGGAGUGACUUGAGCGCUAGGCCGCACAGGGUGGCUCUCGCGUGGCCAGAGCUAGGGCGCCCACUUGAGACACAGGAAAUCGCAGAAGGGGGCUUGGCCCAGCCUGGCCCACACCCUACCUGAAUAGCCCGUCCACUGUCAGCUCUCACCAUCUCGCAGGGCUGACCGGGGGUCUCUGCUUCAGCGUCACAGAGCUCGGCAGAGGCCGCACAGCAGGCAAGAUGACAGGUUUGCUCCUCGGCGCCUUUGCUCCCAGGGUCCGAGCUGCUGGAGGAGCCCUUGUGCGCGGUGUCUCUGCAUCGUCCUGCACGGCCGGGCAGUGUCGACGAGCAGGUGGUGGUCGGGUCUGGCAGGGUCCCUCAGACAGGCGGCU